CCUACGGGCGGCAGCAGUGGGGAAUAUUGCGCAAUGGGCGAGAGCCUGACGCAGCGACGCCGCGUGAGGGAUGAAGGUCUUCGGAUCGGAAACCUCUGUCAGCAGGGAAGUACGGUCACUGUGCUAAUCAGCAGUGAAUUGACGGUACCUACAAGGAAAGCACCGGCUAACUCCGUGCCAGCAGCCGCGGUAAUACGGAGGAUGCGAGCGUUAAUCGGUAUUAUUGGGCGUAAGGCGCUCGUAGGCGGUAUGUCAAGUCAAGGGUGAAAUCCCCGCGCUCAACGUGGGAAGUGCCUUUGAAACUGGCAAACUGGAGUGUGUGAGAGGAUAGUGGAAUUCCAGGUGUAGGAGUGAAAUCCGUAGAUAUCUGGAGGAACAUCAGUGGCGAAGGCGACUAUCUGGCACAUAACUGACGCUGAGGAGCGAAAGCGUGGGUAGCAAACAGGAGUAGAUACCCGAGUAGUC
RNAcentral lists this ribosomal RNA (465 nucleotides) under uncultured bacterium. RNAcentral's name for it is "partial 16S ribosomal RNA". It matches the Rfam family "Bacterial small subunit ribosomal RNA", at positions 338 to 795 of the family's 1533-position model. The record is from RNAcentral.